GAGUUUGAUCAUGGCUCAGAUUGAACGCUGGCGGCAUGCCUUACACAUGCAAGUCGAACGGCAGCAUGAUCUAGCUUGCUAGAUUGAUGGCGAGUGGCGAACGGGUGAGUAAUACAUCGGAACGUGCCCUGUAGUGGGGGAUAACUAGUCGAAAGAUUAGCUAAUACCGCAUACGACCUGAGGGUGAAAGUGGGGGACCGCAAGGCCUCAUGCUAUAGGAGCGGCCGAUGUCUGAUUAGCUAGUUGGUGGGGUAAAGGCCCACCAAGGCGACGAUCAGUAGCUGGUCUGAGAGGACGAUCAGCCACACUGGGACUGAGACACGGCCCAGACUCCUACGGGAGGCAGCAGUGGGGAAUUUUGGACAAUGGGGGCAACCCUGAUCCAGCAAUGCCGCGUGUGUGAAGAAGGCCUUCGGGUUGUAAAGCACUUUUGUCCGGAAAGAAAUCGCACUUACUAAUAUUAGGUGUGGAUGACGGUACCGGAAGAAUAAGGACCGGCUAACUACGUGCCAGCAGCCGCGGUAAUACGUAGGGUCCAAGCGUUAAUCGGAAUUACUGGGCGUAAAGCGUGCGCAGGCGGUUGUGCAAGACCGAUGUGAAAUCCCCGGGCUUAACCUGGGAAUUGCAUUGGUGACUGCACGGCUAGAGUGUGUCAGAGGGGGGUAGAAUUCCACGUGUAGCAGUGAAAUGCGUAGAGAUGUGGAGGAAUACCAAUGGCGAAGGCAGCCCCCUGGGAUAACACUGACGCUCAUGCACGAAAGCGUGGGGAGCAAACAGGAUUAGAUACCCUGGUAGUCCACGCCCUAAACGAUGUCAACUAGUUGUUGGGGAUUCAUUUCCUUAGUAACGUAGCUAACGCGUGAAGUUGACCGCCUGGGGAGUACGGUCGCAAGAUUAAAACUCAAAGGAAUUGACGGGGACCCGCACAAGCGGUGAAUGAUGUGGAUUAAUUCGAUGCAACGCGAAAAACCUUACCUACCCUUGACAUGCCACUAACGAAGCAGAGAUGCAUUAGGUGCUCGAAAGAGAAAGUGGACACAGGUGCUGCAUGGCUGUCGUCAGCUCGUGUCGUGAGAUGUUGGGUUAAGUCCCGCAACGAGCGCAACCCUUGUCUCUAGUUGCUACGAAAGGGCACUCUAGAGAGACUGCCGGUGACAAACCGGAGGAAGGUGGGGAUGACGUCAAGUCCUCAUGGCCCUUAUGGGUAGGGCUUCACACGUCAUACAAUGGUGCAUACAGAGGGUUGCCAAGCCGCGAGGUGGAGCUAAUCCCAGAAAAUGCAUCGUAGUCCGGAUCGUAGUCUGCAACUCGACUACGUGAAGCUGGAAUCGCUAGUAAUCGCGGAUCAGCAUGCCGCGGUGAAUACGU
This 1368-nucleotide ribosomal RNA is filed under the name unidentified marine bacterioplankton. RNAcentral describes it as "bacterial SSU rRNA". It matches the Rfam family "Bacterial small subunit ribosomal RNA", at positions 9 to 1371 of the family's 1533-position model. The record is from RNAcentral.